RNAcentral lists this ribosomal RNA (497 nucleotides) under uncultured bacterium. Its description in RNAcentral is "bacterial SSU rRNA". It matches the Rfam family "Bacterial small subunit ribosomal RNA", at positions 11 to 507 of the family's 1533-position model. The record is from RNAcentral.
GUUUGAUCCUGGCUCAGGAUGAACGCUAGCGGGAGGCCUAACACAUGCAAGCCGAGCGGUAUAGAAUCUUCGGAUUUUAGAGAGCGGCGUACGGGUGCGGAACACGUGUGCAACCUACCUUUAUCUGGAGGAUAGCCUUUCGAAAGGAAAGAUUAAUACUCCAUAAUAUAUUGAUUGGCAUCAAUUAAUAUUGAAAGCUCCGGCGGAUAGAGAUGGGCACGCGCAAGAUUAGUUAGUUGGUGAGGUAACGGCUCACCAAGACGAUGAUCUUUAGGGGGCCUGAGAGGGUGAUCCCCCACACUGGUACUGAGACACGGACCAGACUCCUACGGGAGGCAGCAGUGAGGAAUAUUGGACAAUGGGUGCAAGCCUGAUCCAGCCAUCCCGCGUGAAGGACGACUGCCCUAUGGGUUGUAAACUUCUUUUGUAUAGGGAUAAACCUCUCCUCGUGAGGAGAGCUGAAGGUACUAUACGAAUAAGCACCGGCUAACUCCGUG